RNAcentral lists this ribosomal RNA (498 nucleotides) under uncultured bacterium. Its description in RNAcentral is "bacterial SSU rRNA". It matches the Rfam family "Bacterial small subunit ribosomal RNA", at positions 30 to 518 of the family's 1533-position model. The record is from RNAcentral.
UGAACGCUGGCGGCGUGCCUAACACAUGCAAGUCGAACGGGACUAUGAAGUGAGUGUUUCGGACUGAACUUUUAGUUAGUGGCGGACGGGUGAGUAACGCGUGGACAACCUGCCUCUCACUGGGGGAUAGCAGCUGGAAACGGCUGGUAAUACCGCAUGCGUUCAAUGUGCCGCAUGACACAUUGAAGAAAGAUUUAUCGGUGAGAGAUGGGUCCGCGUCUGAUUAGCCAGUUGGCGGGGUAACGGCCCACCAAAGCGACGAUCAGUAGCCGGCCUGAGAGGGCGGACGGCCACAUUGGGACUGAGACACGGCCCAGACUCCUACGGGAGGCAGCAGUGGGGGAUAUUGCACAAUGGGCGCAAGCCUGAUGCAGCGACGCCGCCGUGAGUGAAGAAGUAUUUCGGUAUGUAAAGCUCUAUCAGCAGGGAAGAAAGGCCCGCAAGGGAGAUGACGGUACCUGACUAAGAAGCCCCGGCUAAUUACGUGCCAGCCGCUGC